GAUGAAGAACGUAGCGAAAUGCGAUAAGUAAUGUGAAUUGCAGAAUUCAGUGAAUCAUCGAAUCUUUGAACGCACAUUGCGCCCGCUAGUAUUCUGGCGGGCAUGCCUGUUCGAGCGUCAUUUCAACCCUCAAGCUCAGCUUGGUGUUGGGCCCCGCCGCCCCGGCGGGCCCUAAAGUCAGUGGCGGUGCCGUCCGGCUCCGAGCGUAGUAAUUCUUCUCGCUCUGGAGGUCCGGUCGUGUGCUCGCCAGCAACCCCCAAUUUUUUUCAGGUUGACCUCGGAUCAGGUAGGGAUACCCGCUGAACUUAAGCAUAUCAAUAAGCGGAGGA
RNAcentral lists this unclassified non-coding RNA (329 nucleotides) under soil metagenome. RNAcentral describes it as "partial contains 5.8S ribosomal RNA, internal transcribed spacer 2, and large subunit ribosomal RNA". The stretch from base 1 to 120 matches the Rfam family "5.8S ribosomal RNA", at positions 35 to 154 of the family's 154-position model. The record is from RNAcentral.